UGGACAAGGGGAGAAGUUAUAACAUUAUAAUUUCAUUUAUUUGUCUCUUAUAUGGUAUUAAUUUUGUAUAUUUGGAUUCUGUACAUGGUGAACAUAGCCAAUCAUUAUUUGAGUCAAUAUCCAUUUAAAUUAACCCACAUAUUUAUCAUUUUAAUUACUUUUUUAUUCCUUCCUGUCCUUUAAGUUUUCCUCUAGAAUUAUUUUGCUUCUUACUGAGGAACACCCUUUAGUAUUUCUUUUACUGUGAGUUUGGUGGUGACAAAUUGUUCUUCAUUUGUUGGCAGUGUUUUAUUUUGCCUUCAUUUUUGAAGGAUACUUUUACUGAAUAUAGAAUUCUAAGUUGAAAGUUGUUUUCUAUUAGUAUUUUGAUGAUAUUUUAUUUUGGUUUGUCUUUUAUUGUUUUAUUGAGAAGCUUUAUAUAAUUACCUUUGCAGGCAAUCUGCUUUUCUGUCUCCUUUGAAAUUUAUCUAUUUGUCUUUGUUUUUUAACUGUUGCACAUUGAUAUGCCUAGGUGUAAUUUUUCCAUGUAUUUAUCCUCCUUGGAGUUUAUAAUGUUUUUUAAAUCUGUGGUUUAGUGGUUUUGGGGUGUGUGUGUGCACGUGUGCGUGUACGUGUGUGCACAUGUGCAUUUGGGGAAAUUCCUAGCUAUUAUCUAUUCAAAUUAUGCAUCUGCCUCAUUCUCCUUCUCUGUUUCUUUUAGGGAUAACCUUAUUACCCAGUUCUGUUGGCCUGUUUUCUAAUGGUUAUUUUUCUUGAAUUUUGCUGAUGUCCUAUCUCCUCAUAUGGUGAUUUUUAUAUCACUUGCCAGACAAUAUAUAUUAAAAUUUUAGAGGUAAUAAGAUGGUCUGGAUAAUAUCUUCUUCCAGAGAGGAUUUGCCAUAGCUUCUAACAUAGCUUCUUAGGCUAUGAUCACUAGUAAUCCCUGAUUGCCUUUAUCCAGUCAUGUAUUAAGAUAAUUUGAAACUGGGCUUGAGUCUCUAGAAGACUCAUCUUAUUUUAUUAUAUGUUCAGAAUGUGAACAUCUAAACCUUAUUUCUAGGAUACUUUUAGGACUUAGGAGUUCGGGAGGUACAUCAGGCCCCUCCUCUUUGGAAAGACUUGAAUUCUAGUAUUUCUCCUUCGGUCACUUGAAUUUGUCAAAAAUUCUCUCCAGCCUCUCUUGCCCAGUAUUUGCUGUCAGAAUUAGCAAAUACCUCUUAGUAAUAAACAGUUUCAGACAUUAUGUCCCAAAUAUGAGACUUUAUGUCUUGUCUCCAAUUUUAUUCCUGCAGUUUCUCACUGCCGUGGUAGCUUUCUUAUGCCUUCAAAAAAUUAAAUAUGUUUAAUAUUUUCAUUCACCUUUUUUAGUUCCCAAAGGAAGUACUAGUCUGUACCACCUACUCUGCCACUGGCAGAUGUUUUUAAUUCGUUGAGAUAGCUACUUGUAUUUAAGAAGUAUCAAGACCAAAAAUAUAUUUUCUUAAUUUCCAAAAUUACUGACUUGUAAAUGAAAAUGCUUAGAUUUGCAGCAUUACUUUAUUCCAAUCUUUUGUUGCUAAAAGUCUUAAGGCAUUCACCCAUUUGUUAAAACCUUUACAGCCAGGCGCGGUGGCUCACUCCUGUAAUCCCAGCACUUUGGGAGGCCGAGGCGGGUGGAUCAUGAGGUCAGGAGAUCGAGACCAUCCCGGCUAACACGGUGAAAACCUGUCUCUACUAAAAAUACAAAAAAUCAGCCGGGCGUGAUGGUGGGCACCUGUAGUCCCAGCUACUCGGGAGGCUGAGGCAGGAGAAUGGCGUUAAUCCAGGAGGCGGAGCUUGCAGUGAGCCAAAAUCGCAGCACUGCACUCCAGCCUGGGCGACAGAGCGAGACUCCAUCUCAAAAAAAAAAAAAAAAAAAAAAAAACCUUUACAAACUUUGAUACGUAAGAGAAAAUUACCUCUGGUGGUUUCAGAUUUUAUUGUGGUAGCUGCCAAAUUUAGCAAAUGGAAGAGAUUCACUAAAAGCUUCUCAGAUGUCUUUUUUAAUACUAUGGCUUUUCCUUUGUACAAUUAAUAGAAAAUGGGGUUAAUGAAGACUGGUAUAGAGUCCCAGGGUUUGAAAAAUUAACUUAGUAGGAUAACUGAGAUAGUGAUUCUCAACCUUUAUUCUCAGGCACAUUUUAAAAAAUAGAAUGUUAUACUCCCAAGAAAAAGAAGAAACUAUAAAAGAGCUACUUGACCUUUUGUCAACACAGUAUUAAUCUCUAGAAGAAAGAAAGACUUUCUUCUGUGAGAUUUCUUGCGUCUCAAGGGGCACUUGUGAACUGAUUGAGGAAUAAAUGGUGGAAAACUAUAAGUGAAUUGGGAGAGCUAAAUGUUAAGUAGAACUCAAAGGUCAGUAUAGAUUGGAAGCAUGUGGAAUAUAGACUUUACUAGGGAAAACACUGUAGGUUAGCCGUAUCUUUUUUAUUUAUUUAUUUUUUUUUUUUGAGACAGAGUCUUGCUCUGUCACCCAGGCUGGAGUGCAAUGGCGGGCAAUCUUGGCUCACUGCAACCUCCACCUCCUGGGUUCAAGUGAUUCUCAUGCCUCAGCCUCCCAAGUAGCUGGGAUUACAGGCAUGCACCACAACGCCCAGCGAAUUUUUGUAUUUUUAGGAGAGACAGGGUCUCGCCAUGUUGGCCAGGCUGGUCUCGAACUCCUGGCCUCAAGUGAUCCACCCACCUCAUCCUCCCAAAGUUCUGGGAUUACAGGCAUGGCCCAGCCAGCCAUAUCUUUUUAUGCCAGCACUCUAUUAUAGUUCAUUUACAGCAAACUAUUUUAAGACAGUUUUACAGUUUAAAUAUUUUAAUAAAAAUGCAUUUUAUUCUAUUUUAUUAAUUUUAAUUUUUUUUUUUUAGUGACAGGGUCUCACUCUGUCACCCCGGGUGGAGUGGUAUGAUCAUAGUUCACUGUAGCCUUGAACUCCUUGGCUCAAGCAACCUUCCUGCCUUAUCCUUCCAAGUAGCUUGGACCACAGGCAUGUGCCACUACACCUGGCUUUUUUUUUUCUUGAGACAGAGUUUCCGCUCUUGUUGCCCAGGCUGGAGUGCAAUGGUGCAACCUUGGCUCACUGCAACCUCUGCCUCCCGGGUUCAGGCGAUUCUCCUGCCUCAGCCUCCCAAGUAGUGAGGACUACAGGC
RNAcentral lists this long non-coding RNA (3138 nucleotides) under Homo sapiens (human). RNAcentral describes it as "HSALNT0152187". Lineage: Eukaryota; Metazoa; Chordata; Mammalia; Primates; Hominidae. The record is from RNAcentral.